Long non-coding RNA from Ornithodoros turicata, 675 nucleotides. RefSeq lists it as uncharacterized. The transcript has 3 exons. The record is from RefSeq and is a predicted model, not a curated record. NCBI's taxonomy places the organism in Eukaryota, Metazoa, Arthropoda, Arachnida, Ixodida, Argasidae.
CCAGCACCAAGGAUCCACGUUUCACUCAUGGCAAUUAUUACAGCCACAAGGGGUACCAUGCACUGAACGUGCUGGGGAUUUGCGAUGCUAAUCGCAGAAUCCUCCACCUAAAUGCACGCUAUCCGGGGAGCUGUCACGACGCUGCUGUCUGGUCAAUGUGCAGGAUACGGCAGAGGGCUUCAGUCCUGUUCGACGAUGGGGAGUGGCUGCUGGGAGAUCUUGGCUACCCACUUGAGCCAUGGUUGAUGACUCCAUUCCGGGCUCCGGCAUCAGACAAAGAAGUGGCAUAUAAUGCAGCUCACAGCAGGACUAGGGUUCGAAUCGAGCAAUGCUUCGGAGUGCUGAAAAUGCGAUUCCGGUGCCUGCAAAGGUACCGCACCCUUCACUUUGCACCAGACAGAGCCUGCAAUAUCAUCACUGCUUGUGCUGUGCUACACAAUAUGUGCAUUUCAUACAAUUUGCCUGAGCCUGCAGAGGAGCCUGAACCGGCAGCUACAGAACAUGACAGUGCCACAGUUACAGUGACUGAGGACGAACCCAGCGAGGAGGGUGAACCCAUCAGUCGAAAUGACUCCUUCAUAUCACAGGCAAUGCGCGUACGUGAGAGAAUUGUCAACAGGUACUUCUAGCAGCCUGUCAAGAAAUGUAUAUACAUCAUCACAACUGCUUUGUCGU